This 471-nucleotide ribosomal RNA is filed under the name uncultured bacterium. Its description in RNAcentral is "partial 16S ribosomal RNA". It matches the Rfam family "Bacterial small subunit ribosomal RNA", at positions 28 to 506 of the family's 1533-position model. The record is from RNAcentral.
GACGAACGCUGGCGGCGUGCUUAACACAUGCAAGUCGAACGCUGAAGCUUGGUGCUUGCACUGGGUGGAUGAGUGGCGAACGGGUGAGUAAUACGUGAGUAACCUGCCCUUGACUCUGGGAUAAGCCUGGGAAACUGGGUCUAAUACUGGAUACGACAUGCCACUGCAUGGUGGUGUGUGGAAAGGGUUUUACUGGUUUUGGAUGGGCUCACGGCCUAUCAGCUUGUUGGUGGGGUAAUGGCCUACCAAGGCGACGACGGGUAGCCGGCCUGAGAGGGUGACCGGCCACACUGGGACUGAGACACGGCCCAGACUCCGACGGGAGGCAGCAGUGGGGAAUAUUGCACAAAGGGCGGAAGCCUGAUGCAGCGACGCCGCGUGAGGGAUGACGGCCUUCGGGUUGUAAACCUCUUUCAGCACGGAAGAAGCGAGAGUGACGGUACGUGCAGAAGAAGCGCCGGCUAACUACGU